UCUUGGUUAUGUUGGGUGUUCCGUAAACAAAAGCCGCCAAGGGCCAAGCAGUAGCAGUCCUUGGUAUUUGGUAUGCCUACAGUCCUUACCCAUGCUGCAGCCCGAUAGACGUUCGUAGAUUUGUUCCUGACGAUAAGUAUUUAACCAGGUUCACGUUUGAAUCGGUUUUUUGUGAAACGUUGAAAUGGGAAGGCGCAAAAGUAAACGGAAACCACCGCCGAAAAGGAAAGCAAUUGAGCCACUAGAUAUUCUAUUUAAUUGCCCCUUUUGCAAUCAUGAAAAAUCGUGUGAAGUUAAAAUGGACAAAGCUCGGAAUUCAGCCAAAAUAACCUGUAGAGUUUGCAUGGAAGACUUUCAAACCACAAUAAAUUUUCUGUCUGAGCCGAUUGAUGUUUACAACGAUUGGGUCGACGCUUGUGAAGCAGCUAAUUGAAUGUUUGGUUACGAAUUGCUCACAUACAGGUAUGCCAGCUCGCAAGUAGUACCUUGUACCAAGUACCUUGGUGGGACGCCGCGGGCUGCUGCACGUGGCGCACCAUGUAACAUCGUAUGCAAGCCAGCUAAUGAAGGAUUACAUCUGUCUUAACGAAAAUAUGCUCCAGAUAACAUCUCCUAUCGACGCUAUUAUCGUUUUUUUUUUUACAGACUUGAUUAAAGCAUAGAAAGCAAGGAAUCUACUAUAGUAGCAAUCCAUCAGUGAUCUUGAAAACAUACAUUGACACCUCUCAUCUCGAGACUUUAACUUCGCUUUUGCCAAGAGAAUUACCAUCAAAAUACCGAGUGAAAAUAAUCCUCCAGCCUAAAUUCUGUAAUGUAAAAAUCCUGAUUAAAAAACAUAGUUUUACUUCUUGUCAGAUCAUAUUGAGUUUCAGCUGCUUGUCAACACAUGGAAUUUUUGUAAAAAAAAAAAUUGGCUCAAAUUUUAUCGGUACGAGAUUUUUCGUACUUCCUGUGGUUAAUGGAAAUGAGCCUCCCAACCACAAAGUCUGCUAUUUGUUUUUGGGUCUUUUAUUUUCUUUCUGGAAUGUUUGAAUAAGUUUCUGUACAGCCGGACAGCAACUACUUAAAGUUCGUUUAUAUUAGUGAACUCCAGAUCUUAUUCAUCACAAGUUAUUAUCUUUUCUCACUGACCCUAAGUUUCCUGCACCGUUGCCCACUUCCUCAUCGCAAGAUUUAGGAAAGACAGGAUUUUUAACGCAUUGAAUUUAGGUGCGUGUGAUUUUUGCCGCGGGCUCAUGUGAGCACACUUUACGAAGGCUUGCAGUAAUCCAAAUCUGUUACUUCUCAUGACAGACUCAAGGGUUACCUUUAACUUGAAUGUAACUUAAUUUAAUUCAUGUAAAUGCUUCAUUUUGAGAUAUGUGACACAAAAUUGAAAAUGAUUGUAUCGAUCUAUGUAUAUUUAAAUCUUUUUAAUUAAAUGAUAUGCAAGACUA
Bemisia tabaci is the source of this 1436-nucleotide non-coding RNA. NCBI's taxonomy places the organism in Eukaryota, Metazoa, Arthropoda, Insecta, Hemiptera, Aleyrodidae. The record is from RefSeq and is a predicted model, not a curated record.